This 496-nucleotide long non-coding RNA is filed under the name Homo sapiens (human). Its description in RNAcentral is "HSALNT0199417". Lineage: Eukaryota; Metazoa; Chordata; Mammalia; Primates; Hominidae. The record is from RNAcentral.
GUUGGAUUCCAGUUCCCUAUCUCUAGGCAUGUUGCAUUCAAACCAAAGAUAACACAACAGGGUAAUGUGACAGGGGUGAGUUCGAGAGUCUGGAAAGGCCUUUCCAAGGAGAGAAUAAGAGUAAGUUCGUUCCCUUUCAAACUGUAUUCGUCAUUCUGCCUGCUGACUCUAUUUCGGUUGGCUUGGUCGAGGACUGGUGGCUGAUUAAUGUUCAAUGACCCACGGGGACAGCCCAGGCCGACAGUUCCUCAAGACCCUGCAGGUCAACGUUUCGCAACUUCCCAAGCCUCUCCCUGCUCCAGAACGAGCCUGACUCCGCUCCCAGUUUUUCCGGUAAUCUCCUCACCGCUCCGCUGCUGCAUUUUACGCACGCCCUCCAGGGAGCGGUCCUCGGCGUCCAGCUCUCAGGAUGUGGAGAGCUGCAAAUAGCACCGACAGCUGCAGCUGGAGGUAGCCGCCCGGGAAGCCAGCCAGCUGCUGCCACCACAGGGGCCAG